This 468-nucleotide ribosomal RNA is filed under the name uncultured bacterium. RNAcentral describes it as "partial 16S ribosomal RNA". It matches the Rfam family "Bacterial small subunit ribosomal RNA", at positions 28 to 507 of the family's 1533-position model. The record is from RNAcentral.
GACGAACGCUGGCGGCGUGCUUAACACAUGCAAGUCGAACGGAAAGGCCCUGCUUUUGUGGGGUGCUCGAGUGGCGAACGGGUGAGUAACACGUGAGUAACCUGCCCUUGACUUUGGGAUAACUUCAGGAAACUGGGGCUAAUACCGGAUAGGAGCUCCUGCUGCAUGGUGGGGGUUGGAGAGUUUCGGCGGUUGGGGAUGGACUAGCGGCUUAUCAGCUUGUUGGUGGGGUAGUGGCUUACCAAGGCUUUGACGGGUAGCCGGCCUGAGAGGGUGACCGGCGACAUUGGGACUGAGAUACGGCCCAGACUCCUACGGGAGGCAGCAGGGGGGAAUAUUGCACAAUGGGCGGAAGCCUGAUGCAGCAACGCCGCGUGCGGGAUGACGGCCUUCGGGUUGUAAACCGCUUUCGCCUGUGACGAAGCGUGAGUGACGGUAAUGGGUAAAGAAGCACCGGCUAACUACGUG